RNAcentral lists this ribosomal RNA (492 nucleotides) under uncultured bacterium. RNAcentral's name for it is "partial 16S ribosomal RNA". It matches the Rfam family "Bacterial small subunit ribosomal RNA", at positions 29 to 507 of the family's 1533-position model. The record is from RNAcentral.
AGUGAACGCUGGCGGUAGGCCUAACACAUGCAAGUCGAACGGCAGCACAGUAAGAGCUUGCUCUUACGGGUGGCGAGUGGCGGACGGGUGAGGAAUACAUCGGAAUCUACUUUUUCGUGGGGGAUAGCGUAGGGAAACUUACGCUAAUACCGCAUACGACCUACGGGUGAAAGCAGGGGAUCUUCGGACCUUGCGCGAUUGAAUGAGCCGAUGUCGGAUUAGCUAGUUGGCGGGGUAAAGGCCCACCAAGGCGACGAUCCGUAGCUGGUCUGAGAGGAUAAUCAGCCACACUGGAACUGAGACACGGUCCAGACUCCUACGGGAGGCAGCAGUGGGGAAUAUUGGACAAUGGGCGCAAGCCUGAUCCAGCCAUACCGCGUGGGUGAAGAAGGCCUUCGGGUUGUAAAGCCCUUUUGUUGGGAAAGAAAAGCAGCAGGUUAAUACCCCGCUGUUCUGACGGUACCCAAAGAAUAAGCACCGGCUAACUUCGUG